UGCUGCUGCCGGGUUUAUCAGUGCUGCAGCUUUGCCCAGAAGGAAUCAGCCUCGUCAAGGUUCUCUGACCUCAAAGAAGAACAGAAAUGAUGUUGAAGAUGAUACAAGAAUUGUCCAUGGGACCUGCCUUCUCAGGAUCUCUUUAAAUCAUGGUGGGUGAUCCUCCUUUCUUUGUGUGUCCAUUACAUGUUUUUCAUUAAGGGCUGUUGGUGUUCUUUGGAGAAGACCUGGAAGAGGAGAGACACAAACGGGCACAGACUGGGACGUUGUUCUGCACCUGGGCCAGCCCUAUUUCCUUGGAUGGGACAGACAGAUCCAGACUUUUCUCAGCGACUCAGAAGAGUAUAGAACGUCUCCUGCCUGACUGUAUAUCCCUCCCUUGGAGCAGUGGAUAGCCACAGCCUUGUCCCCUGCCACCCACUGAGCUUGCAGAGGUGGCACAGAGGGCCCAUCAUGUCACAGAGAUGCUGCCCCACUGCUGUGAUGGUGAUGCUGCCUAACUGCUGCCUCGUGCUGCAUUCUGUUCUGUGAUGGAGAAUAACAGAGUUUGCUCAGGCUAAGGGAAGAUCUUACUGUCAUCUUCAACCAGCUCAUGGGAGAAUAUGGAGAACAUGGAGCCUGACUCUUUCCAGUGAUGAGCUGUAAAAUGGAUGCAACUUGCAGCAAGAGAAAUUUGACAUGUGGAAAGUAUCUUAACAGAGAAAUUACAAAAAUUCUGGAACAACAACCCAGCAAUCUUCUGGAAUUUCUGCUGUUGAAGAUGCUCCAAGUGCAACUGGGCAGUCAAGCAACCAGGUCGAGGUUUGAAGUUAAUCCUGCUCCAAGGCAGGAACUGGAGUAUGUGACCUCCAGGGUCCCCUCCAACCUAAACCAUUCUGUGAUGUUGUAGUGGAAGAGACAGAUGUUUUGGGGGGAUGCAAGGUGGUGCAAGUCCCUUGGAGACCAAUGGACUCAUAAAUUCUAGAGGCUACUUCUGAAUCUGCCCCAGACAUGCUGUGUGACCAACCAGCCUGAGGCAGCUUAGGCACCGUGUCUCCUGGUGAACCUGGAGACAACAGGAGCACCAAGUUUGUCUCAGCAAUUACCCACUGCAGCAGCAAGGCAUUUAGCUUGGGCAGGAACAUGCCAUUGCCUUUCCCAGCUGAAAACCAGGCACACACAGGGUGAGACAGGUGAACUGUAUUAGAGGUUCCAUAGCCAUGGAGGCCACCAGUCAAUAAAAGAAAACAUCUCCAAACAACACAAACUAACAUCCAGCACUGGGGAAACCCAUAAUUUUGUCUGCCAACUUAUUUGGAAUGGAAAUCAGCUGUCAGGGAUUGCAGUUAAGUGGGGAAUGUGAAAACAUGAUUUUAAAUGUUUGGUAAUUACUUUUCAAGGCAAUAUUAGCAUUAAUAAUUCCUGCUGGUAUUUGGACCUCCGUUGUCACCCACUCACUUUGGCAUCAUAUCAUACAUAAAAACUUUUGCCAUUUGAGCUAGUUAGUAAUAUUCUCUAAUAUUGCCACUAGCAUUUAACUUUCAAUUUGUCAUCACUUAGCAUCCCCAGGUCAUUUGUUUGCACAUUUCUUUAAACUUUUUCUUCCACAUAUUCAGAAUCAUUUAUGGGCUAUGAAGGCCCAAAUUUUGCUAGACAGCCCUCUCCAGAAUCUGAGCUGUGGUACCAUCUCUGGGUACUAGGAUCUGGGAGCUCUUUCUCAUUUAAAAGUAGGAGCCACCCACUACCACCCUUUGGAUGUGUGGAAAGUGCUGCUGAAACCAGCAGGCCUGUGAGCAGGGGAGGGAUCAUGAGCGUGUAUUCUUACCCUGCUCAUCCUGUGGUACAAAAUCAUGGCCUAGUGGAUGUGUACAGGGCACCACAGUGCCACAUAAAGAUAUCCAAAUGAGCUGAUACUUUAGCUCAGGGAUCCAUCAGGAUGUAUAUCUAUUUCCCACCUUAACAGUAGGCUGUACAGUACCUUCUUGCAAUCAUGAGAGAGGCAGCUCCAGAUGCUGAUUACCUUGAUCUUGGCAAGAAAAACUGCUGGCAGGCAGCUCAACAAGGUCAGACUGACCUCAGAUGCAUUUGAGGGGCCUUGGCAAGAGAGAUGUCUUUAGGGGAUCACUGACCAAUGCAAGGAACAUGAUGAAGCAGCUAUAUGAAAUGUAAAAGUAAUAAUAUUCCCAAUAAGCACCUGGCUUUUUAUUGCUACAAGAUUUUGAGUUCAUUUUCUUGUGAGAACUCUACUGUAACUUUAGGUGGGGAGUGACCAUCUCCCUACAUACCUAGCACAAGAAUUAAAAUGAACACCAGUCAAUAUCCAUAAGUUUUUAAAGAGCACUGGAUUUCAUAUUUUGUUGAAGUUGUUAAAAUAUUAAAUAUUUUACCAUUAUCUUUACUACAAGAAAAUUGCAGAAAAUAAGAAAUAUGACCAGUCUGUCUUUAUUACAUGUUUAAUCUUGACAUGUAAAUAAAUGCAUUUUCAAUGCAUCUUCAACUUUCAAUGUCCGUCAGUUGAGGACAACAUGCUUGACCGUGGGGCACAUGCUUUCAGCAGCAGCUGGGGUUCAGGAGGUGCUGCCUUGCACAGAGACAUGACCCAAGCUUGUGGCUACCCGUGGUGCUUUUCCCCAGGGCUGGCAGGUGUAAAGGAGGAGGUGGCCACCAAGGGCAUUUUGUGCCUGCUGUCCUCCAGAGAUGCCUCAGGGGUGGUGGCAGCAGCCGCAGGGCUCAGUGCGCUGCUGGGACAG
Non-coding RNA from Zonotrichia albicollis (white-throated sparrow), 2729 nucleotides. The record is from RefSeq and is a predicted model, not a curated record. Lineage: Eukaryota; Metazoa; Chordata; Aves; Passeriformes; Passerellidae.